UGCCAAGUCGAGCGGAGUGAUGGUGCUUGCACUAUCACUUAGCGGCGGACGGGUGAGUAAUGCUUAGGAAUCUGCCUAUUAGUGGGGGACAACAUUUCGAAAGGAAUGCUAAUACCGCAUACGUCCUACGGGAGAAAGCAGGGGAUCUUCGGACCUUGCGCUAAUAGAUGAGCCUAAGUCGGAUUAGCUAGUUGGUGGGGUAAAGGCCUACCAAGGCGACGAUCUGUAGCGGGUCUGAGAGGAUGAUCCGCCACACUGGGACUGAGACACGGCCCAGACUCCUACGGGAGGCAGCAGUGGGGAAUAUUGGACAAUGGGCGCAAGCCUGAUCCAGCCAUGCCGCGUGUGUGAAGAAGGCCUUAUGGUUGUAAAGCACUUUAAGCGAGGAGGAGGCUACUGAAGUUAAUACCUUCAGAUAGUGGACGUUACUCGCAGAAUAAGCACCGGCUAACUCUGUGCCAGCAGCCGCGGUAAUACAGAGGGUGCAAGCGUUAAUCGGAUUUACUGGGCGUAAAGCGCGCGUAGGCGGCUAAUUAAGUCAAAUGUGAAAUCCCCGAGCUUAACUUGGGAAUUGCAUUCGAUACUGGUUAGCUAGAGUGUGGGAGAGGAUGGUAGAAUUCCAGGUGUAGCGGUGAAAUGCGUAGAGAUCUGGAGGAAUACCGAUGGCGAAGGCAGCCAUCUGGCCUAACACUGACGCUUAGGUGCGAAAGCAUGGGGAGCAACAGGAUUAGAUACCCUGGUAGUCCAUGCCGUAAACGAUGUCUACAAGCCUUUGGGGCCUUUGAGGCUUUAGUGGCGCAGCUACGCGAUAAGUAGACCGCCGGGGAGUACGGUCGCAAGACUAAAACUCAAUGAAUUGACGGGGGCCCGCACAAGCGGUGGAGCAGGUGGUUUAAUUCGAUGCAACGCGAAGAACCUUACCUGGCCUUGACUUAGUAAGAACUUUCCGAGAUGGAUUGGUGCCUUCGGGAACUUACAUACGGGUGCUGCAGGGCUGUCGUCAGCUCGUGUCGUGAGAUGUUGGGUUAAGUCCCGCAACGAGCGCACCCUUUUCCUAUUUGCCGCG
Molecule: ribosomal RNA, 1066 nt
Filed under: Acinetobacter sp.
Lineage: Bacteria; Pseudomonadati; Pseudomonadota; Gammaproteobacteria; Moraxellales; Moraxellaceae
Description: bacterial SSU rRNA
Rfam family: Bacterial small subunit ribosomal RNA
Source: RNAcentral